This 405-nucleotide ribosomal RNA is filed under the name uncultured bacterium. RNAcentral describes it as "bacterial SSU rRNA". It matches the Rfam family "Bacterial small subunit ribosomal RNA", at positions 355 to 776 of the family's 1533-position model. The record is from RNAcentral. RNAcentral also lists the same sequence under 1 other name.
UGGGGAAUAUUGCGCAAUGGGGGGAACCCUGACGCAGCAAUGCCGCGUGAAGGAUGAAGGUUUUCGGAUUGUAAACUUCUUUUACUGAGGACGAAGAAUGACGGUACUCAGAGAAUAAGCCACGGCUAACUACGUGCCAGCAGCCGCGGUAAUACGUAGGUGGCAAGCGUUAUCCGGAUUUACUGGGUGUAAAGGGCGAGUAGGCGGGAUAGCAAGUCAGAUGUGAAAUACCGGGGCUCAACCCCGGAGCUGCAUUUGAAACUGUUAUUCUUGAGUGGUGGAGAGGCAAGUGGAAUUCCCGGUGUAGCGGUGGAAUGCGUAGAUAUCGGGAGGAACACCAGUGGCGAAGGCGACUUGCUGGACACUAACUGACGCUGAGGAGCGAAAGCGUGGGGAGCAAACAGG